RNAcentral lists this ribosomal RNA (371 nucleotides) under uncultured organism. RNAcentral's name for it is "partial 16S ribosomal RNA". It matches the Rfam family "Bacterial small subunit ribosomal RNA", at positions 527 to 896 of the family's 1533-position model. The record is from RNAcentral.
GUAGGUGGCAAGCGUUGUCCGGAAUUAUUGGGCGUAAAGCGCGCGCAGGCGGUUCUUUAAGUCUGAUGUGAAAGCCCACGGCUCAACCGUGGAGGGUCAUUGGAAACUGGAGAACUUGAGUACAGAAGAGGAAAGCGGAAUUCCGCGUGUAGCGGUGAAAUGCGUAGAGAUGUGGAGGAACACCAGUGGCGAAGGCGGCUUUCUGGUCUGUAACUGACGCUGAGGCGCGAAAGCGUGGGGAGCAAACAGGAUUAGAUACCCUGGUAGUCCACGCCGUAAACGAUGAGUGCUAAUGUUAGGGGGUUUCCGCCCCCCUUAGUGCUGCAGCUAACGCAUUAAGCACUCCGCCUGGGAGUACGGCCGCAAGGCUG